AACCUUUCCGGUGGCUUAGUGAUUAGAGCGUCCGCUUUGGAUGCGGUAGGCUGCGUGUUUGACCCCCGACCAAGUCA
Non-coding RNA from Potamilus streckersoni, 77 nucleotides. The record is from the annotation of a GenBank genome assembly. NCBI's taxonomy places the organism in Eukaryota, Metazoa, Mollusca, Bivalvia, Unionida, Unionidae.